Molecule: ribosomal RNA, 492 nt
Filed under: uncultured bacterium
Lineage: Bacteria
Description: partial 16S ribosomal RNA
Rfam family: Bacterial small subunit ribosomal RNA
Source: RNAcentral
AGUGAACGCUGGCGGUAGGCCUAACACAUGCAAGUCGAACGGCAGCACAGUAAGAGCUUGCUCUUACGGGUGGCGAGUGGCGGACGAGUGAGGAAUACAUCGGAAUCUACUUUUUCGUGGGGGAUAACGUAGGGAAACUUACGCUAAUACCGCAUACGACCUACGGGUGAAAGCAGGGGAUCUUCGGACCUUGCGCGAUUGAAUGAGCCGAUGUCGGAUUAGCUAGUUGGCGGGGUAAAGGCCCACCAAGGCGACGAUCCGUAGCUGGUCUGAGAGGAUGAUCAGCCACACUGGAACUGAGACACGGUCCAGACUCCUACGGGAGGCAGCAGUGGGGAAUAUUGGACAAUGGGCGCAAGCCUGAUCCAGCCAUACCGCGUGGGUGAAGAAGGCCUUCGGGUUGUAAAGCCCUUUUGUUGGGAAAGAAAAGCAGCAGGUUAAUACCCCGCUGUUCUGACGGUACCCAAAGAAUAAGCACCGGCUAGCUUCGUG